GAUGAACGCUGGCGGCGUGCUUAACACAUGCAAGUCGAACGGAAAGGCUCCUGCUUGCAGGGGUACUCGAGUGGCGAACGGGUGAGUAACACGUGGGUGAUCUGCCCUGCACUUCGGGAUAAGCCUGGGAAACUGGGUCUAAUACCGGAUAGGACGAUGGUUUGGAUGCCAUUGUGGAAAGUUUUUUCGGUGUGGGAUGAGCUCGCGGCCUAUCAGCUUGUUGGUGGGGUAAUGGCCUACCAAGGCGUCGACGGGUAGCCGGCCUGAGAGGGUGUACGGCCACAUUGGGACUGAGAUACGGCCCAGACUCCUACGGGAGGCAGCAGUGGGGAAUAUUGCACAAUGGGCGCAAGCCUGAUGCAGCGACGCCGCGUGGGGGAUGACGGCCUUCGGGUUGUAAACUGCUUUCGCUAGGGACGAAGCGAAAGUGACGGUACCUGGAGAAGAAGCACCGGCUAACUACGUG
This 466-nucleotide ribosomal RNA is filed under the name uncultured bacterium. RNAcentral describes it as "partial 16S ribosomal RNA". It matches the Rfam family "Bacterial small subunit ribosomal RNA", at positions 28 to 507 of the family's 1533-position model. The record is from RNAcentral.